GUGCCAGCCGCCGCGGUAAUACGUAUGGUGCGAACGUUGUUCGGAAUCACUGGGCUUAAAGAGCACGUAGGCGGUCAAGCAAGUCUGAUGUGAAAUCCCUCGGCUUAACUGAGGAAUGGCAUCAGAAACUGCUUGGCUAGAGUGUAGGAGGGGAGAGUGGAAUUCCUGGUGGAGCGGUGAAAUGCGUAGAUAUCAGGAGGAACGCCGGUGGCGAAAGCGACUCUCUGGCCUACAACUGACGCUGAGGUGCGAAAGCUAGGGGAGCAAACGGGAUUAGAUACCCCGGUAGUCCUAGCCCUAAACGAUGGGCACUAAGUAGAGGGAAUCCGAUAUUCUCUCUGCCGGAGCAAAAGUGUUAAGUGCCCCGCCUGGGGAGUAUGGUCGCAAGGCUGAAACUCAAAUGAAUUGACGG
RNAcentral lists this ribosomal RNA (412 nucleotides) under uncultured bacterium. RNAcentral's name for it is "bacterial SSU rRNA". It matches the Rfam family "Bacterial small subunit ribosomal RNA", at positions 505 to 916 of the family's 1533-position model. The record is from RNAcentral.